GCGUGUGUGUGCUGGGGGAGGGGUUGUCUGUAAAUAAGAAAGAAGUAAAUAAAAUACUUCAAGCGGGUGGGCCUCGAUCCCACGUGCUCAAGCUGCCAGCCUGGCACCUCCCCCAAGGGCUGUGCCCCAAAGCCCUGGCCUACGGAGAAGCAGGGCUGUCUGGAGAGCACAGGUGCAAGGUGAGGGCGUCUCUGAGCGCGUGACCUUGACCUCUAGGCCCCUAGCUGCCUCCUCUGGGUGGCUGGCUAGUUUUGGUGAGUGCUGGACCGCCCGGGCCGCCUCCUGCCUCUCUGCCGCGUUCUUGUCCCCAAGAUGCCCCUGCUCUUUGGAAGAGCCGAGGCGGAGGGAGCAGCUGUGAAAACAAACCCGCGGCUGGGCUGCGGAGUGGAGGGCUGGGGACUGUUUUCUGGGGUCUGCCUGGGCCCACAACCCCCUCGCAGUCACAGUGGGCGCUCUGGCCCAAACCCAGGACUGGGAGGGUGGCCUCGCCCCUUGAGCGCCGGGGAGCCAGCCAGUGAGCCAGCGCUGCCUGCUGCUGUUUCCUCACAAAGGCCGUCCUCAGGGGGUGCUCUCAGCCCCCUGACUGACUGUGGCCCUGCCUGGACCGGAGAGAAAAUAUUUAGAGAAGGGGCGUCUCCUCCCUCCUGGGCAGCUGCUGCCUCUCCAGGCGCUGGGAGUGGUCCCCGCCUCGCUCCCGACACACCCCACCUUUGGGGGGCAGGCGAUUGGCCGUGGGCCAGAGGCCAAGCCGCCUGCAGUAGGGGUGUGGACGCCCCUCCCCCCACCCCAGUGGGCGGACCUCCGGGCCGGCUUAUUAUAGCCCUGAUGGGAGUUCCUGGUAAGUCGUGCACCGUUUGCGCCUCAGAGUUGCUGCGCCUGAAGCCUCAUGUUGAGAAAUGGUCCCUGGACAUGUCAGCUCCCCCCUACCCCCCCAGCCUUCCCUCCAGGUACAGCCCAGGACGCCUGUUGCCUUCUCUGGAAUCCACUGAAAUGAGGCUGGAACUUUCUAGAAGCUUCUGAGGGUAGCUGGAGACCUACAUCCAAUGACUGACACACAGGAUGUGGGCAGAGCAGCAGCUGUUGCAAUGAUCCAUGACAAAAUGAUGCAUGACAAACCAUUCCAAAACCCAGUGACUUAAAAUAAUAAUAGCACUGGAUUUCUUUGUGAACACUUGGUUUGGGCAGCGCUUCCCGGAGACGGGUCUUCUCCGCUUGCCUCGGUAUCAGCUGGGGUGGCUGGGAGCUGAAGGCCUGCUCGGCAACAUGUCUGGCACUUGACCUUGGCUGUUGGCUGAGACUUGAGCUGAAUUUAUCGACGAGAGUGUCUAAAUGUGGCCUCUCCAAGUGGCUGCUUGGUUUCCAAGAGUGAGCGUCCCGAGAGAGAGAGAGAGAGAGAGAGAGAGAACUCAGGUGGAAGCCAUUAGAGUGGGAGGAGUCACUGGGUAUCACUUCCACCAUAUUCUCUUGGCUAGAAACCUGUCCCUAAGAGUGGCCUACAUUCAAGAGGAAGGAGUCAGACCCUACCUAUGGAUGGGAGAAAUGUCAAAGAAUUUGCGGUCAUGUUUCAGAACCACCUCCGUGGUUCACAGCUGCCUUGCGAGAAUCAAAGCACCAGCUACCCAGCGGGGCCUCUGUGGAAGCCAGAGGAGAGAGAGCCAUGCUUCCUUGGAACAAGGCUACACCAGCAGUGCUCUGCACAGGGGAAUACUAUGGUGCCUUUUCAUAUGGCGGCGGGAAAUUAAGGUUUCUUACGAAGGCAGCAUUUGGCUGCAAGUGAGAAAGAAAUCUAAAGCAAAGUGGAGGCAGGAUCCUUUCUCGCAUGCCAAUCUGGAGACGAGCAGGGUACGGGCUGACCACGACUCCGCCACGCCAGACCCAACCUAGGCUCUUUCUAUUCCACUGCUCGACCAUGCAUGGCCUCUGUUUUCCUGGUUCUUUCACGGUCAAAGACACCUGUUGCAGCUGCAGUGCGCACGUCCAUGUUGUGGACAGAGGGAAAGAGGAAAGGCCCAAGAAGUAGCAGCCGCAGAGGCUACCCACUGCAGUGGAGUGUCACUCGCUCUGUCCGGAGAACCGCAUCGUUAGCCGAUUUCAUCAUUGUGCUGACACAGAGGGUCCUCACAGAAGCCAAGGUGGCCAUGAGCUCCUUAGACAGCACAACCUGAUGGGAGCACUGUCAUACGCGGUUCAGCGGCAACUGAAACGUCAUCAUUUGCUGCACACAGCUGUCACGUGAUGGCAUUGGCCAGAAUGUCUCCACGUGGUCACUCCUAACUGUGGGAAGCAAGGAAAUGUAGUCCCUUCCCUGGGUGGCCACGAACCCCUGCUCCAACUGCGACUCUCUUAGCAUGAAAAAAAAGAGAUAAAGGAUACCGCACGGGCUAGAAGCAGAGUCGGACUGACUUAUUAAUUAAACAAUUUUCUGUACAGACAGGACUCCUGGCUAAUUUACCUCCUCUGGUUAGAGAAAAAAUGAAAACCGGCUCUUGUUUCUGUAGCUCUUUCCCCCAGAUUCAGUUUUCCUUGGCAAUUUCUCAAGUCAGACAAUUUGGGUCUGUGUUAGGGGGAGGGGUGGGGAGGGCGCCGAUUGAAAGGUUUACAAAUUCCUCUAAUAAAACGAAUUUUUGUUUGCGGUAAAUAGGAAAG
This is a long non-coding RNA of Oryctolagus cuniculus (rabbit), 2646 nucleotides long. Lineage: Eukaryota; Metazoa; Chordata; Mammalia; Lagomorpha; Leporidae. The record is from Ensembl.